GAUAUUCUGUCCUUGUUUUCAGACAUUACUUGUGGGUUCCAAAGUACGGAAUUGCAUGGUAGCAGGCUGUCUGGCAGAGUCCCUAUCUGUGAAGUGGUGAAGUGUGGAGCGCUCCUGCUGUUGCCAAUGGAUAAUCUGUUGCACGCGCUGAAGAGUCGUAUGCCUACGGAGAGGUGGUGGAGUUCAGUGUGACAGGCAACUGACUCUGGAUGGACCCAGGUCUUACACUGCUCUGAAAAGGGCAGUUUGAGCCAUAUCCACCUAAAUGUAUCGACAUAACUUGUCCAACACCUAAAAUCGAUAAAGCUUUCCGCGUAGAGGGACAUAUACCUCCAUACAAAUACAAGUCUUUGUCAGAUAUGAAUGUGAAAAGGAUAUGAAAUGGAAGGUGAUUCAGGUUACCU
Molecule: long non-coding RNA, 404 nt
Organism: Salvelinus sp. IW2-2015
Lineage: Eukaryota; Metazoa; Chordata; Actinopteri; Salmoniformes; Salmonidae
Source: RefSeq, a predicted model, not a curated record